GCUAUAAGAGCAUCAACCACUAGUCGUGCAUUGCGCCGUUCGCUCGGUAUCCUCUUUAUCCGACGAGCUGAACCUAUUGCCCAUGCGCCAAUGAACGAGAGCUUCCUCUUCAAGUUCUCAGUGCGGCCUGUACCAGUGCGAAAUCCAUAAGGGGGAAGUUGUUGCAUUUUACUUAGUUCUCUAUCGCUGAAUUGAGCUUGGCCUUGUAGGAUGUCCAUCGCCGUCAAACCAUUCAUAUUCUUUAUGUCGCUAUAUACAAACGUUUCGAUCAAUUGUUUUACUACCUGUCGUUGAUUUCUAGAAGCAGCAAUAUGUAGUACAGUGUUGCCUUCCUUGUUCUU
This 341-nucleotide unclassified non-coding RNA is filed under the name Hevea brasiliensis (rubber tree). The record is from RNAcentral. Lineage: Eukaryota; Viridiplantae; Streptophyta; Magnoliopsida; Malpighiales; Euphorbiaceae.